CUUUAUUGUUUAAGUUUCACAUUCCUCCUAGUUAGAGGCUAGCCUGUAGCCUCGUCUCCAUGGUUACUCUCUGACCUCAGCCCUCAGAACUUCCCGCCCUUACUUGUUUAUAAGCAACCGCCUUGUAGCUAAUAAAGGAGACUUGAUCAGAUCCUCGACUUGUCUCCAUUCUUCGCGUCUCCUGUCUCUCUCUUUUAAUCCCCACUCCUUCCCUAGGGUCUCCAUUGCUCGUCCCGGGGGUCGGGACAAACCGGCGCCCAACGUGGGGCUCGAGUACGAGGGACACAGUGAGGGACGCCGUCGAGGUCAGCCGGCACAGGAUUAAGAAACCUGGAGGAAAGAGCGUCGUGGGAACCUGCCACGGACUCGAGCUCCGAAACAUGUGGACCUUAAUAUUGAUAUCCCUGAUAAUCACUCUCAUACCUAAGACCGACAGUGGAUUCGGAUCACAAUAUGAUGUAAGAUCAACUUGACUCCCUAGCCGAAGUAGUCCUGCAAAACUGACGAGGCCUAGAUCUGCUCACCGCCCAGAAAGGAGGACUGUGCCUUGCAUUAGAUAAAAAAUGCUGCUUUUAUGCUAACCGUUCUGAUGUUGUCAGAGAAUAAGAUAAAAGCCCUGCAAGAAGACCUGGCAAAAAGAAGAAAAGCACUCUUCGAUAAUCCAUUGUGGGGAGGGUUGAAUGGGUUCCUCCCCUAUAUCCUCCCCCUCCUCGGCCCUUUUGUCAUUUUCCUUCUACUCCUCACUGUUGGACCUCUUAUAUUCAACAAGGUCAUGGCUUUUGUCAAACAACAGAUUGACUCCAUAAAAAUGCAGCCCCUACAGGUCCUUUAUCAUAAGCUGGAAAUGGAGUUGGAUCAAGGCUACGGUGGAAGCUUGAUAAGCACCACCAACCGUUUCUGACAUUGCCUGAUGAGCUGGACCAGUUAGCCAAUGACGGGCAACCUGAGAGCCUAGCAGUAAGAUGCUCCCGCCUAAGACAGGGGACCAGGAUAUGAAUCCCGCUCACCCUAUGACGGGUAAGGGUAAAAAGCAUCACUGCAGGUGUAUCUCUUGACCUAAGACAGGCAUGGUCCCCACAGGUAAUCGGCCACACAAAAAUUAAAUAAAAGAGGGGGACCUGUGGGGAGCAGUAGCCAUCUUGUAACUAUGUUGCUUAAGCUUUUGUUCCUCUUACCUAAACCUCCAUCUUGUGGGCUUCCCUUAUUGUUUAAGUUUCACAUUCCUCCUAGUUAUGAGGCUAGCUUGCAGCCUCAUCUCCAUGGUUACUCUCUGACCUCAGCCCUCAGAACUUCCCACCCUUACUUGUUUAUAAGCAACGCCUUGUAGCUAAUAAACGGGACUUGAUCAGA
Molecule: RNA transcript, 1350 nt
Organism: Callithrix jacchus (white-tufted-ear marmoset)
Lineage: Eukaryota; Metazoa; Chordata; Mammalia; Primates; Cebidae
Gene name: RNA-binding protein 39-like
Source: RefSeq, a predicted model, not a curated record